Molecule: long non-coding RNA, 650 nt
Organism: Mytilus trossulus (common blue mussel)
Lineage: Eukaryota; Metazoa; Mollusca; Bivalvia; Mytilida; Mytilidae
Exons: 3
Source: RefSeq, a predicted model, not a curated record
UUUUAGUUAAUUACUAUCAAAUAAGUCGGAUCCAAAGAAAUGAUUUAAACGGCAAAAAUAAAAUCAAACAUGAAAAUUGAAAUCCAAUAUAUCAUCAUUUCCUUAUAAUAGACUAGUAUUGAAUCAACUAUAUACUGGUGAAUAACAUUUCGGAUUUCGAUCUAAGGUAUCCGCACUUGUCUCCGGAAAUAUUAUACCCACACAAGUUGUCAACAUCCGUUUUUAACUGGUCAAGGUGUUCUUCACGAUCUCCAUUGAAAAUAUUCACGCUUUCACUUUUUGCUCAGAUAAUAGAACAUUGUAAAUCUCUAACUGAAAAUACGGACCAAAAUGAAUCAAAUUCAAAAGCACGAUGGAGAAAGAUGUUCACUAUGAAUCAAAAAUUCAAAACAGAGGACUUUUAUAUACAUGUAUCAACAAAAACAAUUGCAGUACAUGCACAUAUACAUGUAUAAAAGUACACUUUCAGCAUGGUCAGAAGAAGAAUUUUACUGGAGGAUUAAAAUUUUGAUACCUAGAAUCAGCAAUGAAUAUGAAAAUAAAAAUGAGAUAUAUUCAUGUACAGAAUGGUAACCGAGGUGGUUCAAUUGUUUAUUAGCAGACAUUUUUGUUGAACUUAUGCAGGAUUGAAUAAAUGAAACUUAAGCUGA